GGAUAGCUAUGUCAGAAGCCUGAGAGGCAACGUGGAUGACAUACGAAGAAGUAUUAGUGAUGGACAAACAAGCAGUGGAAAUGAACCUAGCGGUGGUGGCAUCACGGAAGUGGAAGGUGCCAUCUUUGCAGUAAUGAGUGUUGUCUUCCUCGUCUUGGUGAUCGUCCUGCCGAUAGUUGUUGGCGGAAAGGUGGCAGAGAAAAGAGUCAUGAAGCUACUUCAGGAGCGCGCGGACAGACGGAACACCGAAGCUAUGGCAGUGCCCUAUGUCUACGUAAAUGAAGGGCAAGAACCUUACGGAUUCGACGACCAUUCACAAAGACGACAUAGUGGGAAAAGGGAAAACGUCAUUUGUCCC
This is a long non-coding RNA of Lineus longissimus, 358 nucleotides long. RefSeq lists it as uncharacterized. NCBI's taxonomy places the organism in Eukaryota, Metazoa, Nemertea, Pilidiophora, Heteronemertea, Lineidae. The record is from RefSeq and is a predicted model, not a curated record. The transcript has 3 exons.